This 468-nucleotide ribosomal RNA is filed under the name uncultured bacterium. RNAcentral describes it as "partial 16S ribosomal RNA". It matches the Rfam family "Bacterial small subunit ribosomal RNA", at positions 28 to 507 of the family's 1533-position model. The record is from RNAcentral.
GACGAACGCUGGCGGCGUGCUUAACACAUGCAAGUCGAACGGAAAGGCCCUGCUUUUGUGGGGUGCUCGAGUGGCGAACGGGUGAGUAACACGUGAGUAACCUGCCCUUGACUUUGGGAUAACUUCAGGAAACUGGGGCUAAUACCGGAUAGGAGCUCCUGCUGCAUGGUGGGGGUUGGAAAGUUUCGGCGGUUGGGGAUGGACUCGCGGCUUAUCAGCUUGUUGGUGGGGUAGUUGCUUACCAAGGCUUUGACGGGUAGCCGGCCUGAGAGGGUGACCGGCCAAAUUGGGACUGAGAUACGGCCCAGAAUCCUACGGGAGGCAGCAGUGGGGAAUAUUGCACAAUGGGCGGAAGCCUGAUGCAGCAACGCCGCGUGCGGGAUGACGGCCUUCGGGUUGUAAACCGCUUUCGCCUGUGACGAAGAGUGAGUGACGGUAAUGGGUAAAGAAGCACCGGCUAACUACGUG